UUUUAUUGUGGUUUAAUUUUUUUUCCAUAUUUUCAUAAUUUUUUAAUAGGACGAGGUGGUCAAAUUUGGUGUGAAAAACCAAACAACCUAUAAAUUGAGAUUGGGGGAGUAUUUUUAUUAGUUCUAGUAAUUCGAAAAAAUAUUACUAGUAUUUCUUAUGUUUCUGCCUUUCCAUGUUUCUAUACCAUCUUUAUGUAUCCAAUGUGAUUUCUCUCUAUUAUUUUGUAGAGUCUAGUAAAAGCUUGUAAUCCCACGGUAUAUUAAUCGUGGAGCAAAUUAAAGCUGCCUGAGAUGGUACAUGUCUCCUCUAAAAUACGGACCAUAAGAUUGCUCGCCAAUGGUACAUGUCUCCCUCAUCCAUCCCACUCCCACGAUAGGGUGUGCGACCGUGCGAUGCUUCAAGACGCCAUAGUGCCCAGGCCGGCGUGAGGAGCCCCAAACCCAAUCUCCUCCCCCUCCCCGCUGCUCGUCUCCCUCGCUCCUCAUACGUCGUUGUGCUGCUCAGGCCACCGAACCCCAAUCUCCCCCCAACCCGCCGUCAUGCUGAUGGCUCAGAUCCACCACGGCUCCGAGCGGAACUUAAUCCCCCUCCCCCAAGAGACCACCACCUCGGCACGAGCAGUCCGGCAUGGCAGGAGGGCCCAGCGCGCCCGCCUUACAGAGGCGCUGAGGCUGAAGAUGGAUCAGGUGCCAAUUCCGCUCAUCGAGUAUUCCAAGAAUUUGCUACAUUCGAAAUACUCCUCAAGAAGAGAAAUCCAAGGUUCGUGCUUCUCCAAACAACUUAGGGCCUUCGAAAUACUCCUCAAAUUGUUUUAGGUUCUUCCAUACGGUGGCCAUCUCUUGUUGCUUAUGAGCCUUCUAUUUCUGCAGCAAUGCUCUACUCAUGGUAGGAAAGAGGAAUUAAAUAGUCAAACAUCAGUACUGGGUGAUGAUAUUAAUGCACAGCCAGAGAUCUCAAUGGUACUGAUUAUGAUCCUAACAACAUUGAUAUACACAUGAGUUUGAAUUAUGUAGGCAUUUCAUGCGAUUUCUCGUCUGAACGCAACCAUCAACACACGCUGUUGGAAUGGAAUCUAGGUUGAUCGCAUCGGAAGGCUGGGACAAUCCAUAAACAUCACAGCUCUUAUUGUAUGGAAUAAUAGGGUGGUUCAUGCUUUGGAUGAAAUUGAGAUACUGGUGAGAUAUAAACAGAUACCAAUGUCUGAUACUCACGAUCCCCCCUCCUCACGCCAAGCACCAAUAGUUGUUCAUGCUAUAUAUUUUAGUUUGUAGUCCUGCCUGAUCUAUGGCGAUUUCUUUCUGCCAGGCUUUAGAACACAUGUCACUUGCAUAUUCCUUUGGGGUUGGGUGAUCACCGCCUUUGGGGUAUUGUGGUGGCAGAGGCAAGGGAUCGGAGGACCAUUGGUUCUUGUUCUGCCUUAUAGUCAUGUACAUCUUGUGAUUGCAGAGCUUAUCAACAUGAGCGGAGCCAGCCAGACAUAAUUACCAGGAUGAUGGGUUCUUCCACUUCGUUUCAGUUGUCUAGGUCCAAGUAGUUCAUUUCGUGAGUUAUCCAAAGUUGCGCCGCAAAGAUGAGUACUGCUAAUCGCUACCAACACAUCAAGUCAACUAAGCCUGUUGUAGGUCAUAGUAGGUCCUGUAGGUGCUUUUAAACGGGUCUGUCAUUGUUGCUAUUGCCAUUGUUCAGGGGGAGCAAGAUGAUGAUGAUUUCCAGGAUCUGCAUGAAAGCUACAGAAAAGGAGCUACAAAACAAAAUUUGUUAUGUUCAAGUGCAACUUGGUUCAUCCUUGUGGCUACCUCACAAUUCAAUGAUGGUUUACACUUACAUAUUCAUAAAGAGUUGGAGAAAUAAAAACAAGAAUAUUUCUUAGUGAUAUUACUUGGUAUUGACCCAAAUCAGAAAGUUGAGGCCGUGAGUUAGGUAAAGAAUUUUUGAUGCUGGGUGUUGGUCUUGUAUCUGUGCCCAAUGAACUACUGGUAUGGCCAUAUGUCAACUUCAAGGUUAUUGGAGAUGUUGGCGACAAUCUAAUAGUGCAGCAUUCAACUUGUGUUCAAAAGCAGAAAAGAAAUGAUCCCACAAGUUGAAGAACAAUAUGGGGAUUCAUUUUUAGUUUGGAAGGAUGUGAUGGCUUGGAUUGGAAUGACUGCUUUGCUUCUAGUUUUAGUUGGUUCAUCGGCAAUGAGUAUGACUUAGUAGGAGUUCAAUAUGUAUAUGUUUUUUAUAGCAAAAGUGCUUUGAAUGCACAUUAAAUAAUGGAUUAAAAUCUAGAUGGUACUUUGUAAUGAAUAUGCUAUUUCUAAUAUAGUAUUGGGUCGUGCUCAUUUGCAA
Molecule: long non-coding RNA, 2329 nt
Organism: Zea mays
Lineage: Eukaryota; Viridiplantae; Streptophyta; Magnoliopsida; Poales; Poaceae
Exons: 6
Source: RefSeq, a predicted model, not a curated record